CAAAGAUUAAGCCAUGCAUGUCCAAGUACAAGCUUUCAAAAGCGAAACUGCGGAUGGCUCAUUAAAUCAGUUAUGGUUCCUUGGAGCGCAUCCCCUUACAUGGAUAACUGUGGUAAUUCUAGAGCUAAUACAUGCAAUCAAGCGCCGACCUUACGGGAGGCGUGCUCUUAUUAGGAACAAGACCAACCCGGGUCCGCCCGGCUCCGUUGGUGAACUCUGGAUAACCUGGCCGAUCGCACGGUCUCUGCACCGGCGACGGAUCCUUCGAAUGUCUGCCCUAUCAACUUUCGAUGGUACGUUAUGCGCCUACCAUGGUCGUAACGGGUAACGGAGAAUCAGGGUUCGAUUCCGGAGAGGGAGCUUGAGAAACGGCUACCACAUCC
This 383-nucleotide ribosomal RNA is filed under the name Asterias amurensis (Northern Pacific seastar). Its description in RNAcentral is "SSU rRNA". It matches the Rfam family "Eukaryotic small subunit ribosomal RNA", at positions 38 to 417 of the family's 1831-position model. Lineage: Eukaryota; Metazoa; Echinodermata; Asteroidea; Forcipulatida; Asteriidae. The record is from RNAcentral.